GAUGAACGCUGACAGAAUGCUUAACACAUGCAAGUCGACUCGAGUCUUCGGACUUGGGUGGCGCACGGGUGAGUAACGCGUAAAGAACUUGCCUCAAAGAGGGGGACAACAGUUGGAAACGACUGCUAAUACCGCAUAAGCCCACAGCUCGGCAUCGAGCAGAGGGAAAAGGAGUGAUCCGCUUUGAGAUGGCCUCGCGUCCGAUUAGCUGGUUGGUGAGGUAACGGCCCACCAAGGCGACGAUCGGUAGCCGGACUGAGAGGUUGAACGGCCACAUUGGGACUGAGACACGGCCCAG
RNAcentral lists this ribosomal RNA (298 nucleotides) under uncultured bacterium. RNAcentral describes it as "partial 16S ribosomal RNA". It matches the Rfam family "Bacterial small subunit ribosomal RNA", at positions 28 to 334 of the family's 1533-position model. The record is from RNAcentral.